UGGGGAAUAUUGGACAAUGGGCGCAAGCCUGAUCCAGCCAUGCCGCGUGGGUGGUGAAGGCCUUAGGGUUGUAAAGCCCUUUCGGCGGGGAAGAUAAUGACGGUACCCGCAGAAGAAGCCCCGGCUAACUUCGUGCCAGCAGCCGCGGUAAUACGAAGGGGGCUAGCGUUGCUCGGAAUUACUGGGCGUAAAGCGCACGUAGGCGGCUUGUUAAGUCGGGGGUGAAAUCCCGGAGCUCAACUCCGGAACUGCCUUCGAUACUGGCAAGCUCGAGUCCGGGAGAGGUGAGUGGAACUGCGAGUGUAGAGGUGAAAUUCGUAGAUAUUCGCAAGAACACCAGUGGCGAAGGCGGCUCACUGGCCCGGUACUGACGCUGAGGUGCGAAAGCGUGGGGAGCAAACA
RNAcentral lists this ribosomal RNA (402 nucleotides) under uncultured bacterium. RNAcentral's name for it is "bacterial SSU rRNA". It matches the Rfam family "Bacterial small subunit ribosomal RNA", at positions 355 to 774 of the family's 1533-position model. The record is from RNAcentral.